GGACUACUGGGGUAUCUAAUCCCGUUCGCUCCCCUGGCUUUCGCGCCUCAGCGUCAGAAGGGGUCCAGCACGCCGCUUUCGCCACCGGCGUUCCUUCGGAUAUCUACGCAUUUCACCGCUCCACCCGAAGUUCCGCAUGCCCCUACCCCCCUCGAGGUCCCCAGUAUCGGAGGCGAUUUUCCGGUUGGGCCGAAGGAUUUCACCCCCGACUUGAGGACCCGCCUACGCGCCCUUUAAGCCCAGUGAAUCCGAACAACGCUGGCCCCCUACGUCUUACCGCGGCUGCUGGCAC
RNAcentral lists this ribosomal RNA (292 nucleotides) under uncultured bacterium. Its description in RNAcentral is "partial 16S ribosomal RNA". RNAcentral also lists the same sequence under 1 other name. The record is from RNAcentral.